Molecule: Y RNA, 112 nt
Filed under: Microcebus murinus (gray mouse lemur)
Lineage: Eukaryota; Metazoa; Chordata; Mammalia; Primates; Cheirogaleidae
Description: Y RNA (ENSMICG00000047629.1)
Rfam family: Y RNA
About the family: Y RNAs are components of the Ro ribonucleoprotein particle (Ro RNP), in association with Ro60 and La proteins.
Source: Rfam by way of RNAcentral
GGCGGGUCCGAAGGUAGCGAGUUAUCUCACUUAUUGUUCACAAUCAGUUAUAGAUUGAGCUCCUGUUCUACUACUUUGCCCCCUUCUUACUACUGCACUUCACUAGUUUUUU